Molecule: long non-coding RNA, 320 nt
Organism: Gossypium raimondii (Peruvian cotton)
Lineage: Eukaryota; Viridiplantae; Streptophyta; Magnoliopsida; Malvales; Malvaceae
Exons: 2
Source: RefSeq, a predicted model, not a curated record
CUUCUUCUUAGCCGAAUGUAAACAAAAGAAAAAGAAGAAAACUUAGCUAGGUUCGGCCAUUGUUGAGCUUGAUUUAAGAUUUUGGAGGUCGAUACGUGCUCGGGGAUCAUUAGUGAAGUCAUUCACACUGUCAUCUACUUUCGGUACUUUUAAAAGUUUCAUUUUUGAACUUAUGGCAUGUAUAGGCUAGUAUAUAUAUAUUGGUUUUGGAUUGUAGGUAUGUAUAUAAAAAGCCAUGCGAAAAUGGCUUAUUUUCUUUUGUUAAAUUUUGGUAUUUAUAUACAUGGUCAGAUGAUCAAAAAUGGAGGUUUUAAUAUAAA